ACAAAGGUGUUUUUUAACAUCACAAAAAAUUAAGAUUAAAGGACAA
This is a non-coding RNA of Opisthocomus hoazin, 46 nucleotides long. NCBI's taxonomy places the organism in Eukaryota, Metazoa, Chordata, Aves, Opisthocomiformes, Opisthocomidae. The record is from Rfam.